AAAGUACGCCCCGAUCACGACGGUCCCGU
This 29-nucleotide small RNA is filed under the name Bombyx mori (domestic silkworm). RNAcentral's name for it is "ovarian small RNA-10090". The record is from RNAcentral. Lineage: Eukaryota; Metazoa; Arthropoda; Insecta; Lepidoptera; Bombycidae.